Long non-coding RNA from Corapipo altera (White-ruffed manakin), 764 nucleotides. RefSeq lists it as uncharacterized. The transcript has 3 exons. Lineage: Eukaryota; Metazoa; Chordata; Aves; Passeriformes; Pipridae. The record is from RefSeq and is a predicted model, not a curated record.
CCCCGCCUGCAACCCCGUGACUUUUAGUGUCCGUAACUACCGCAGACUCGUGUUCGGUAGCGAAGAGCCUAACGUAGGGAACGGCAGAAUGACACCAAAUGCCUCUAAGACUUAAAAGGACCACACACCUGUGGUGAUCAGCAGCAUGAGCUGAUGAUGACCAGACCACAGUCUGAUCGUACCUACAGGGAAAAAUCGGGUUUUAGAAGUCAAAAUGAGUCUUACGAGCUGUGGAGGGAUCCUGCCGGCCGCCAGGGUAUCGAUUUCUCAAGGAAAGAGGUGUUCGGGAGCAGAGCAGGGCUUCUCCCAAAGCAAUGCCAUUGACCCGCCCUGUUGUCUCCUGCACCAGCACGUUUUCAUUUGCAAAGACCAAAUCCUGCUUGCCAGAAACAAACACACCAAGUAGAUCGAGGAGCACAGCUGAGAGCUCUGCAGGAUGCAGUGGGAGAACCUUGGGAUUGCAGGAAUUUUUGUAGUAACCAGGAACCAUAAAAAGGGAGUCAGGCCGUUCAGGCACAAGGCAAAUGCUGCUGUCACGAGAGAAGGCAGGCUGGGAUCACAUCACCAUCACGAGCUGGUGGUGACCAAGGACAACAAGCAAGCAGCUACUGAGAUGCAUUCCCCUGGACUAUCACCCCAGUUUCUCUCGACAAAGACUCUGGAGGGCACCCCAGGCUGAGCCAGAGGACACCGGACAAAGCAAGAGCUGGGAAGUCACUGUGCAAUCCAGAGGUCACUGAGCAGCAGCGCCCAGGCACCAGGCA